GCGGCAGGCCUAACACAUGCAAGUCGAGCGCACCCUUCGGGGCGAGCGGCGGACGGGUGCGUAACGCGUAUACAAUCUACCUUUUGCUGAGGGAUAGCCCAGAGAAAUUUGGAUUAAUACUUCAUGGUAUUAUUGAUAGGCAUCUAUUAAUAAUUAAAGGUUACGGCAAAAGAUGAGUAUGCGUCCCAUUAGCUAGUUGGUGAAGUAACGGUUCACCAAGGCAACGAUGGGUAGGGGUCCUGAGAGGGUGGUC
This 253-nucleotide ribosomal RNA is filed under the name uncultured bacterium. RNAcentral's name for it is "partial 16S ribosomal RNA". It matches the Rfam family "Bacterial small subunit ribosomal RNA", at positions 39 to 305 of the family's 1533-position model. The record is from RNAcentral.